This 625-nucleotide long non-coding RNA is filed under the name Fukomys damarensis (Damara mole-rat). RNAcentral describes it as "lncRNA (ENSFDAG00000032049.1)". Lineage: Eukaryota; Metazoa; Chordata; Mammalia; Rodentia; Bathyergidae. The record is from RNAcentral.
AAGGGGUGUGUGUAUUAAACACCUGUAAUCCCUGCACACUAGGAGGCUGAGGCAGGAAGACUGAGUGCAAAUUCCAGCAAGGCCUGGUCAACUUCUCGACUUAAUGAGACACUCAAAAUAAGAAAGGGCUGUAGAUAUAGCUCGGUGAGAAAAUCCUGGAUUUAAAACUCAUUAUGCACACACACACACACACACACACACACACACACACACACACAAAGAAAAUACUUGGCGGGCAUAUUUGAGGUCCCUUCCUUCCUGGGGGCAACUCUUAGGACAUCUUCAGGUGACAUCCCAAGGCCCUACUCAGUCGUUAGCAUUUGCCAAGGCUCUGGCCGGUAGUGUUCCCAGAAGCCACAUUCUGGAACUCAGAAAGCAGGGCCCGGCGGAGGUCUGGCACAGCACUCUGACUGCAAAGGACUCUGGGAAAUGUAUUCCAGCAUUGGAAGACUAACUGUACCGGAUCUGGGUUGUGCAGUUGCUCUUUGCCAGAUUCCUGAUGCCAAGCAAAAUGUUCCGCGCGGGGGAAAAAAACUACAAGGAAGUUUCAGGGGCCACCAAACACGGAGCAACUUGAGGAGCAGGGAAGCAUGGCUAUUGUGGAUCAAAAAACUAUGUUCAAGGU